This 253-nucleotide ribosomal RNA is filed under the name uncultured bacterium. Its description in RNAcentral is "partial 16S ribosomal RNA". It matches the Rfam family "Bacterial small subunit ribosomal RNA", at positions 524 to 776 of the family's 1533-position model. The record is from RNAcentral.
UACAGAGGUGGCAAGCGUUGUUCGGAAUUACUGGGCGUAAAGCGUGCGCAGGCGGUGAUGUAAGACAGGUGUGAAAUCCCCGGGCUUAACCUGGGAACUGCAUUUGUGACUGCAUCGCUGGAGUGCGGCAGAGGGGGAUGGAAUUCCGCGUGUAGCAGUGAAAUGCGUAGAUAUGCGGAGGAACACCGAUGGCGAAGGCAAUCCCCUGGGUCUGCACUGACGCUCAUGCACGAAAGCGUGGGGAGCAAACAGG